Homo sapiens (human) is the source of this 231-nucleotide long non-coding RNA. RefSeq lists it as uncharacterized. The transcript has 3 exons. The record is from RefSeq and is a predicted model, not a curated record. NCBI's taxonomy places the organism in Eukaryota, Metazoa, Chordata, Mammalia, Primates, Hominidae.
CAGCACCAUGCUUCUUGUACAGCCUGAGGAACCUUCCAUUGUGAGUGCUGUGGCUUGUGUUUCACAUCGUGUGACAACCUGUGGCCCUGCAUCUCCCAGACACAGUGCCAGGGUAAGUCCCAGGCCAGGCACACCACUAACUGACUGAAGAACCCUUGGACCUUGAGGGAACAUUGGUGGUAGCUUGGCAAUACUCUCUGUGGGCCUGUGGUGGUGGCGGCCACAGGUGAG